UCGAACGGCAGCACAGGAGAGCUUGCUCUCUGGGUGGCGAGUGGCGGACGGGUGAGGAAUGCAUCGGAAUCUACUCUUUCGUGGGGGAUAACGUAGGGAAACUUACGCUAAUACCGCAUACGACCUACGGGUGAAAGCCGGGGACCUUCGGGCCUGGCGCGAAUGAAUGAGCCGAUGCCCGAUUAGCUAGUUGGCGGGGUAAGAGCCCACCAAGGCGACGAUCGGUAGCUGGUCUGAGAGGAUGAUCAGCCACACUGGAACUGAGACACGGUCCAGACUCCUACGGGAGGCAGCAGUGGGGAAUAUUGGACAAUGGGCGCAAGCCUGAUCCAGCCAUACCGCGUGGGUGAAGAAGGCCUUCGGGUUGUAAAGCCCUUUUGUUGGGAAAGAAAAGCAGCUGGUUAAUACCCGGUUGUUCUGACGGUACCCAAAGAAUAAGCACCGGCUAACUUCGUGCCAGCAGCCGCGGUAAUACGAAGGGUGCAAGCGUUACUCGGAAUUACUGGGCGUAAAGCGUGCGUAGGUGGUUGUUUAAGUCUGUCGUGAAAGCCCUGGGCUCAACCUGGGAAUUGCGAUGGAAACUGGGCGACUAGAGUGUGGCAGAGGAUAGUGGAAUUCCUG
Molecule: ribosomal RNA, 621 nt
Filed under: Stenotrophomonas terrae
Lineage: Bacteria; Pseudomonadati; Pseudomonadota; Gammaproteobacteria; Lysobacterales; Lysobacteraceae
Description: bacterial SSU rRNA
Rfam family: Bacterial small subunit ribosomal RNA
Source: RNAcentral